UUAACUCAAAUUUGUAUGGAUUUGCAACGUUUCCCUGCGUUCGCCGCUAGGGGCGCUAUUCCAACUGCAUACAAAUUCGAGUUA
This is a non-coding RNA of Bombyx mori (domestic silkworm), 84 nucleotides long. Lineage: Eukaryota; Metazoa; Arthropoda; Insecta; Lepidoptera; Bombycidae. The record is from Rfam.